GACGAACGCUGGCGGCGUGCUUAACACAUGCAAGUCGAACGGAAAGGCCCUGCUUUUGUGGGGUGCUCGAGUGGCGAACGGGUGAGUAACACGUGAGUAACCUGCCCUUGACUUUGGGAUAACUUCAGGAAACUGGGGCUAAUACCGGAUAGGAGCUCCUGCUGCAUGGUGGGGGUUGGAAAGUUUCGGCGGUUGGGGAUGGACUCGCGGCUUAUCAGCUUGUUGGUGGGGUAGUGGCUUACCAAGGCUUUGACGGGUAGCCGGCCUGAGAGGGUGACCGGCCACAUUGGGACUGAGAUACGGCCCAGACUCCUACGGGAGGCAGCAGUGGGGAAUAUUGCACAAUGGGCGGAAGCCUGAUGCAGCAACGCCGCGUGCGGGAUGAAGGCCUUCGGGUUGUAAACUGCUUUCGCCUGUGACGAAGCGUGAGUGACGGUAAUGGGUAAAGAAGCACCGGCUAACUACGUG
This 468-nucleotide ribosomal RNA is filed under the name uncultured bacterium. RNAcentral describes it as "partial 16S ribosomal RNA". It matches the Rfam family "Bacterial small subunit ribosomal RNA", at positions 28 to 507 of the family's 1533-position model. The record is from RNAcentral.